UUCCGGUUGAUCCUGCCGGACCUGACUGCUAUCGGAUUGAUACUAAGCCAUGCGAGUCAUUGUAGCAAUACAAGGCAGACGGCUCAGUAACGCGUAGUCAACCUAACCUAUGGAUGGGAAUAACCUCGGGAAACUGAGAAUAAUGCCCAAUAGAACACUAUACCUGGAAUGGUUUGUGUUCCAAAUGAUUUAUCGCCGUAGGAUGGGACUGCGGCCUAUCAGUUUGUUGGUGAGGUAAUGGCCCACCAAGACUAUUACAGGUACGGGCUCUGAGAGGAGUAGCCCGGAGAUGGGUACUGAGACACGGACCCAGGCCCUAUGGGGCGCAGCAGGCGAGAAAACUUUGCAAUGUGCGAAAGCACGACAAGGUUAAUCCGAGUGAUUUGUGCUAAACGAAUCUUUUGUUAGUCCUAGAAACACUAACGAAUAAGGGGUGGGCAAGUUCUGGUGUCAGCCGCCGCGGUAAAACCAGCACCUCAAGUGGUCAGGAUGAUUAUUGGGCCUAAAGCAUCCGUAGCCGGCUCUGUAAGUUUUCGGUUAAAUCCGUACGCUCAACGUACAGGCUGCCGGGAAUACUGCAGAGCUAGGGAGUGGGAGAGGUAGACGGUACUCGGUAGGAAGGGGUAAAAUCCUUUGAUCUAUUGAUGACCACCUGUGGCGAAGGCGGUCUACCAGAACACGUCCGACGGUGAGGGAUGAAAGCUGGGGGAGCAAACCGGAUUAGAUACCCGGGUAGUCCCAGCUGUAAACUAUGCAAACUCAGUGAUGCAUUGGCUUGUGGCCAAUGCAGUGCUGCAGGGAAGCCGUUAAGUUUGCCGCCUGGGAAGUACGUACGCAAGUAUGAAACUUAAAGGAAUUGGCGGGGGAGCACCACAAGGGGUGAAGCCUGCGGUUCAAUUGGAUUCAACGCCGGG
Molecule: ribosomal RNA, 914 nt
Filed under: uncultured archaeon
Lineage: Archaea
Description: bacterial SSU rRNA
Rfam family: Archaeal small subunit ribosomal RNA
Source: RNAcentral